CUCUCAUUUUCUUCUCCCAUCUCUCUUAUCUUUUUCUCUCAUCAGAAUCUCUUCUUCGCUGUUAACGCAUAACAAACGAGCUUUCACGGCCGUCGUGGACCGACCCGAAAAUCGGAAUCCGAAGUGGCGGCUCGGGUUAACGCCUUGGGACUUUGUGCCUCUCAUCGUCGCGGCAUGGACUUCGAAUCUGGAUACGGGAUUUUAGCGGUGCUAGGGUUCUUGGAGCAUUGAGGGACCUGAACUAACUGCUGUGGAUUUGGGCGGCGAAUUAGGGUUAGGGUUUCUGGUUGGGAGCAUUGCUUGGGAGGAUUGAAGAGUUGAUUUCUAGGGUUUUGGUUGGUGAAUUGGGGAGGGGGGAAGAUUGGCGACGGGUAGAGGAUAAUGUGUAUACUUUGUGUGAUUCAGAAGUGGUCUCGCCGGGUAGCUACGAUGCUUCCUUGGUUAGUUAUUCCAUUAAUAGGACUAUGGGCUCUCUCUCAGCUUCUACCGCCGGCUUUUCGAUUCGAGAUUACUUCGCCCAGGCUCGCCUGUGUUUUUGUGCUCCUGGUUACUCUCUUUUGGUACGAGAUUUUGAUGCCCCAGCUCUCGGCGUGGAGGGUGCGGCGCAAUGCCAGGCUUAGGGAGAGGAAGAGGUUUGAGGCUAUAGAGUUGCAGAAGCUGAGGAAAACAGCAACGAGGCGGUGCAGGAAUUGCUUGACUCCGUAUAGGGAUCAGAAUCCUGGCGGUGGUCGGUUUAUGUGUUCGUAUUGUGGCCAUAUUUCUAAGAGGCCGGUUUUGGACUUACCUGUGCUCCCUGGGAUGGGACUUUCGAAUUCGGGGAUUAUCAGGGAUUUGGUUGGAAAGGGCGGAAAGAUAUUGAAUGGGAAGGUGUGGUCUGAGAAUGGGUGGAUGUGUGGUCAAGAUUGGUUGGAGAAUGGCAAUUGGGUUAGUGGUUCUAUAGGUGGGAAAUCUAGUUACUGGAAGAAGGAUGGGAGUAGUGUUUUUGGGGGGGAUGAGAAUUGUUUGGCAGAGAAGUCUUAUUCAGGUGUCGUUAUUUUUGCCUGCAAGCUACUGACCUCAUUUUUCUUGAGUGUUAGAUGGCUUUGGAGAAAGAUUUUUAGGAUUAGUACAUCAGGAGAUGAUGCUGCAUCUGAUGCAGAGCAUAAAGCAAUGUUGGCCAAGAGGGGUGAGAAUGGGGUCAACUUUCAAGAGAGUAGAGGAGAAAAGGCACGCAGAAAAGCUGAAGAAAAGAGACAAGCUAGGAUAGAGAAGGAGCUCUUAGAGGAGGAAGAGAGAAAACAAAGGGAGGAAGUUGCAAGGUUGGUGGAGGAACGCAGGAGACUUAGGGAUGAGAAAAAGGAAGCUGAAAGAGGAGAUCGUGGGAAAACAUCGCCACCUGUGAGGGAGAAAGAUAGUAAGAAGGAAGCAGAAAAGAAACGUCAGGAUAGAAGGAAAGAUAAAGACAAGGGUUCUAGCAAGAGCAAUUCUGAUGCAGAAGAGUUGGAAAAGAGAGCAGGUAAGGAGAGUGACCGGAAACGGGACUUUGACAAGAAGAAUGACAAUGAACGUCGGGAACUUCCGAAAUCUGGGACAGAUUUUCUCAAGGGUCAAAGCACGGAGGUGGGGUAUGGUGCAAAGAAUCUAUCUGCAAACAAUACAGUGAGGGGAAAUGCUGGAUCUAGGUACCUGGACCGCAUGAGGGGUACAAUUUUUUCUUCUUCAAAAGCAUUCAGCGGAGGUAGUUUCUUUGGAAAGGGUGCUAAUACUACAGUGACAAAAGAAACCAAAUCUAGCAUUUCCGUGGAUCACGUCCAUAGUCCUGCCCACAGGAGAGACUUAUUUCCACCUGAACGCGUAGCUGCUAGACCUUUUAUGAAUGGAGAUGAUAAGAGUAUCAGCCGCCCUAUUCAGUCUGAAUCACAGCCAGGGACAGCAAAAAAAUCAUGGCAGCAAUUAUUUACUCGUUCAUCAUCCGUUCCUGCAUCCUCGAGUGUAAAUGUAAUUAGUAGACCAAAUGCAAAGUCCCAAACAGAAGUACAAACUCCUGUGAUAUCUGGUCAACCAUCAUCAAUACAAUCUUUUGACAAUCCAAUUAAUUUUGGUCUGCCAUCACCAUUCACUAUAUCUCCCUUUCCUAAUGGAGUCACUAGCAGCAGUUUAGGCUUUUCUCCUGCAGUUGAACCCAUGUUCCCUCGCAUUGGAGAAGGGCAUCAUGAACCGAUACCUGAAGAGCCAGAGCUUUUUGAAGACCCAUGUUAUGUUCCCGAUCCAGUAUCUUUGCUUGGGCCCGUCUCCGAGUCGCUUGAUAAUUUUCAGUUAGACAUGGGGGCUGGCUUCGUGACAGAUGUGGGAUUGGAGAGGCCUCGCACAUUAAAGAAUGUAUCUGCUUCUUCUGAUCUCAACAAGCCAUCUCCAAUUGAGUCACCUUUGUCACGAGAAAAACAUAAUUGUAAUCGUGUUCCAAGUACGCCAAAGGCCCAGGAUAUGCAUUCUCCACCCCUAGAUGAUGCAAAUGCAAAUGAUAAGGGUACGUGGCAAAUGUGGAAUAGUUGUCCUCUUGGUCAGGAAGGUCUAGGUUUAUCAGGCGGCCCAGCAAGCUGGCUUUUACCUCCUGAACUGAACAGAUCCAACAAGGAUGAUCUUGUGCACCCUUCAUCUCAUAUGUCACUGUUUUCAACAGAAGAGCAGGUUGUUCCUGGCCCCCAUUCUCCUCGGCAUCAGAGCAUAUUCCUUGGUAAUGGGCAUAAUGGUGGGACAUUUAGCCCUGUGACUGGUUCAAGUGAUCAUGAUCCUUGGUUACAGAAAGCAUUUUUUCCACCAUUGUCAACCGCUGAAACCCAUUAUCCUCUCAAACCUCCAGAGGAAGCUACUAAAAAUGAAAGAUUUUUUGCGAGUCCCAGCAGAUCUACUACCAAUCAUGCGUUUGAGCUGUCUCCAGGAAAUGGCUGGUCCAACAGGAAGGAAUCGAUUGAAUGCGGUGUGCAGGGUACAGCAGGGGAAGGUGUUGGAAAGCCAUCAGUUCUGAGGCCUCAUGUCAGGGGUCCUUAUCCGCCAACCCCAGAUGUACAGUCACUUUGGUCUUAUGUUUGAAAACAGAAUGAGAAACACACCUCCUGUACACUCUAAUGGAGGCAAAUAGCCUCUUUUGGAGGAGAGUUUAGAAUACUGAAUGCAUUGUAUCUUCCUGCUCUUCUUUAUAAGGGAGAUUGAUGUUUACUUACAUUAGCUUGGAUAGGAAUACACGUGACAUGCAUGCUUUUAUGCUCUCAGCUAACUGCUAGGUAAAGGGGUUUGACAUUGAGUUCUUGGAAAGCCCUUGGCUCCUCUCUCUUUGUUAGCACCUGGCAGUUUAGCAAAAGGCAAAACUUUUUUGUCCCUUCGGGAGUAUCACUUUUCCUCUUUCCUUUUGGUUAUGGUCUUCGUCCAUUUUGAGCCCUUCUGCUGUCUGCCCUUGGAGCAAGGAAAUAUCAUAUUGCAGGCCCUCUGGUUCCUCGGAUUUCUUGUGGAGGAUAUUUAGUUUGGUUCAAUCAAUCUUUAGGUAGUUGUCAGGAGCCUUCACUGACCAUUGUAUUGUCCUUAUCCUAUUUGCGCAUUCAGUCAUGAUUGUAUUUUCUAGCUAAUACUGAUAGUGUUGCCAAUAAAAUUACACAGCCGGUAGAGGAUUAUCUCGAUGAGCA
Rosa rugosa (rugosa rose) is the source of this 3656-nucleotide RNA transcript. RefSeq lists it as uncharacterized. The record is from RefSeq and is a predicted model, not a curated record. Lineage: Eukaryota; Viridiplantae; Streptophyta; Magnoliopsida; Rosales; Rosaceae. The transcript has 5 exons.